UGAAAGCGGCACUGGCCUGACCCCGGAUCUUUCUUCCACAGAGGCCUUUUUGUGGUCUGUUGGCCCCCAGGAGUUCUGGCGAUGGGCAUCUGCCGGGUAUCUCAGAACCAUUUCCCACUUUCCUGUUCCCUCUCAGAUUACAGCUAAGAAGAAAGCGGCAAUGUGUAAGAUGACGGAGCCUGGAUGCAAGUUGGCUAUCUAAGAUGUAGAUGAGUUUCUUCACAAGAACAGAUUUGGAGAAAUCAACAUUACAUCACUUGCUCACCAGUGGAUGCUCUAUAGUGAAUGGGUGCCGUCAGAAUGAGAGUCCAAACAGCUGAUAAAAGCAUUACAAUAAUCCACAGGUAAUCCACACAAAUCCAGUUCAUCAGUUAACAUCUUGUGACGCGAAAAGCUAUGAUUUUGUAAAAAAAAAAAAAUGCAUCCAGAUGUUUUAACUUUAAACCGUUACUUCUGGACUGUUUUCGAUGGUAAACCGUGAUUGAUCUGUGCAUAUUUCUCUCCUGAUUUAGAUGAGAAGGCUUUUUCACUGGACAAAGCAAUAUUAUGGAUUUUUUUCAUUUUCAAAUUUAAAUUUUUGGGUGAACUAUUUCUUUGAACUUAACAAAUAAUAUCCUGGCAGAAAAUUCACAAUAUCUUUUCUGUUUUCUACAGAUUUCUUUCUUUCUUUCUUAUUAUCCCAAUGACCAAAUCAAAUACAAAUGACCAAUCAGAUAAAUAUUUUUUCAAUGUAUCAUUGGGAGUUCAAGCACAGGCACUGAAACCCUAUUGUAAUUGUUAGAAUGGUCACGGAUCAGCGAUCUCCAUGUAAAAAUGAUUGUGCAGACCAAACCAUAAGUUGUAGAGACUUGAAACUUGGAGGGAUGGUAGUACUCACACUACCUACAAUGUGACCAAGGCUCAUCCCAAGCGGCCUGACGGGGGCGCUACAGCGAACCAUCAGUCACAGACUCAAGUGUCUUAUGUGUUGGAAUCCCUGGAAAAAAACGCACGCCUCAGAUUCGAUCAUGAGCCUGACAAAAUUUUUGGGUAUUUUGCAUUUUUUGAAAAACCUACUUUUGCGAGCUAGUUGUAGGGUUUUUUGGUUCCUAAUUGGAACCAAACCAGUGCAGAAAGAUUCUCUGCAGAGUGAAUAUCAAUAAUUAUCUAAAAAAAGUUCAAUUUUCGACUCCCCAUCACAAAGAGGCGCCAAAACGUUCAAAAGGGGCGGGGCUACUUUUAGUAAAAUGUCUAAAACUCCUGAAUGGAAUGAGAUAUCUCUGCCAAACUCCGAACACUUAUGUAAGAGCCCAAUCUGAGAUCACAGGAAAAAAAAUCAUGGAGCUUGGCCACUUGGUGGCGCUAUAAGAGGGAAAAAACAUAAAAAUGGCUAUAACUGCACAACCAUUUGUCCUAUCAACAUGAAAAUCGGUGUGCAUAGUCUCAGUCUGAAGUUCCACAAGUGUCUACAAGGACAUUUGCAUAUCUUAGUUUAACGAAGGCUGAUCAGAAUGAAACUUGCUGGGCCUACUCAACUCACAGCCACAAAGGUCUGAGAGAAAUUUGAAAGAAAUCGGCCACUGGGGGGGAUUUUGCAUUUUUCACGGGUGUAAACGAUUGUACGUUGUGCGGUUUUUCGCACAUACGUGCAAUAUUCAUAUCAUAUGAUAGAAGUCCUCAUUCUGGAUAACUUUCCUCUAGAACUACUUCUGUCAAUCAAAUCGUUUGUUAAAUGAACCAGGUUUUUCGCUCAAUCUGGAAAAAAAAAACACUGCAGUAAAAUUUUCUGGACUCUCUAGACCAGUGGUUCUCAACCACGUUCCUGGAGGCCCCCCAGCGCUGCACAUUUUGCAUCUCUUCUUUGUCUGACACACCCAUUUCAGGUCUCAGGUCAGUCUAUACUAAUGAGCGGAUGAUCUGAAUCAGGUGUGUUUGAUUAGGGAGACAUGGAAAACAUUCAGUGUUCGGGGGCCUCCAGGAACAUGGUUGGGAACCACUGCUUUAGGCCAAUACUUGUCAAAAAAUGUUGAAAUUUACCCUUAGGGAAGCUAUAAUGGGGCCUGUCCAAAUUUACCCAAAAUCCAAUAAAGCCUAAAGAAAAACUCAAAUUUAACGAAAUAUAUACAUUUUAAAGCAAACUAUAGUCAAGUUCAGUAUCUUUUUAUACAUGUAGAAUUACAAGAUAAGGCUGUAUAAUAUUGUUAAAAAGUCACAGCAUCAAAUUUUACUGUAAAAAAAAUAAUUUCUCUGACAGGAAGUCACUAGAGUGACGUGACACAAAAUGUCACAUGAACAUCAGCUUAAUUCUACCUAAGUUUAGCAUUGAGGCACAAUGCCUCUCUUGUAGCUAGUCCGCCCUAGGGAUAGACUGCUUUCAAGCCCUAUUGUUCUCGCAGGGCACAUUAUCGGAUUAUCCCGAUUCCAAAUGAAGGGGAAGAGUGAAGAGUAUUGGAGCAGGGCUUGAUGGGACAUUAUGUCAAUGUGCUGGAACACUUUGAGAGAAAAGAAGCCUGAGCCCAUCAAGACAGAUGCCCGAAUGCGUAACAGCCCCAUUUCAAGGUGAUGUAGGAUUCCAGAGAAAAGAAAAUGAGGAGGAGAGUGGGAUGGAAAAAUGCAAACUCUGUCUGCUCAAGACCCCAACACAAAACAAAACAUGACGAGGCCUGUCAUUCUCCACUGUUGUGGUAUUACCAUCUCUAGGCUAAAGAAUGUACACAAAGAUCAAUGACAACAACUUAAAUCCUGCCAGCCUAACCUUCCCAAAACAUGUCACGAGUAGAAAUGAAAGGAUUUUCCGAGCUUCAUUUUCUCUCGCGGUGCGAAAAAAAUAAAUAUUGCCUGCAGGACUAACAUACUGGCUCCAAAGCGCCAACAAUAACCAGGCAAAGGGCAAAGCUCAUCUGGUAUUGUGGUCAGAUAAUGAUUCCUGAGCACUCUGAAAUAUGAGAACGUUACAUAACCCGUUCUUUUAGACUAUAAUAGAAUAAUUACAGCAAAUGAAUAUCUCACAUGACUAAUCCUUCAGUGGUACAUAUAUAUCACCUUUCUAUAUUCUUCCAACAGCAUGCAGUAAUCUACUUUGCCACCCAAGACGUCUUUUAUCUGGGACAUAAAAGGUUCUGGAAGGCGCGAAAGUAUGGAAGCGUGAAACAUACGGUUUGUACAAUUUUUAUGUGGUACUCCUACAGCUAGUUGAUUGUGUUAGGACUUACGUUGCAUUUGUACACUGUUUUUUAGUCAUAAGACAACACGGAACAAUAACACUGAAAAGCAGCCUAUCUCAAACGGCAAUCUUUUUAGGGACCAGACCAGAAGAUAGCUUUCAAGCCAUGGAAUGUGGAGUUUCAUCUACAGCUGACAUUUAUUGCUUUGAAAACAGCAUAAACGGUCAUGGCUACACUUACGGUCACUGCAGUCCCCCGGAUCCAGUCCGAACCCAGCCCAGACGGUGGAUCAGCACCUAGAGACGACCUCUACAGCCCUGAAUGUCAGCGGAGUCCACAUCAACUAGAUGAGCCCCAGAGACGGAUCCACAUUAAAGACCACAUCACCUAGACGGCUGUCGGCACAAGACCACGGGAACUUUGGCCAGAGGAGAACUGGCCCCCCGACUGAGCCUGGUUUCUCCCAAGGUUUUUUUCUCCAUUUGUCACCGAUGGAGUUUUGGUUCCUUGCCGCUGUCGCCUCUGGCUUGCUUAGUUGGGGACACUUUCUCUUAACACAGUAUUGCAUUUUAUUUUAUUGUUUUUGAUUAACUACCUUUACCUAUAAUGUGAGUGUUUAAUGUUGCCUUUGGCAUUGUUGAUGUACUGUUUCCUAUUUAAUACUGUACAGCCGCCUUGUCACAAUUCUGUAUUGUUAAAGGCGGUAUAUAAAUAAAGGUGACUUGACUUGACUUGACGAUCUCUACAACAAUAUUGAAAAAUGUUACUAAACUCUCAAAUAAUACAUGCUGUAAGCAGGCUCGGGAAUAAAGAAUGAUUGUUAGGAUGUUCAUUUUACAUUGACACACAGAGCAAACAAUGUAGUCUGAUUCUUAAACAAAUGACUCUUCUGAA
This is a long non-coding RNA of Labeo rohita (rohu), 4037 nucleotides long. RefSeq lists it as uncharacterized. The record is from RefSeq and is a predicted model, not a curated record. Lineage: Eukaryota; Metazoa; Chordata; Actinopteri; Cypriniformes; Cyprinidae. The transcript is spliced from 3 exons.